Molecule: non-coding RNA, 197 nt
Filed under: unclassified sequences
Description: pfl RNA
Rfam family: ZMP/ZTP riboswitch aptamer (pfl RNA motif)
About the family: Previously known as pfl RNA. ZMP is also known as AICAR.
Source: RNAcentral
GGCGCCGUACAUGACUGGCGAUGGAAGGUGGAUUACCACAGGGAAGUGUACGCCACGCACUCAAAAGACGCUUGCAAUUCGGUUGCGAUGCGGCAGUUGAAAAAAAGCGGAUUGGACAAAGGGAGCAUUGGGUGCCGAUUUUGCCUUCCUCCGCUGAAUGAGUUCGUGGAAUAAAGCCGUUCGCCUGGGCGCUCAAC